AUGCAAGGCAUUGAGCGACUCGCCUUCGACAUUCGCCAAAAUGAAGCAAGGAAAAGGGACUACAUCGACACCAAGUUGAACGAACAAAUGGAUCAAGUACGAGACAUGUUGGCCAACUACAAGUCUUCUUCCCCUUCGUCAUCUUCAAGGCGGCGACGCUCGAGUAGCAAAUCUUCGGAACGCCAUCGAGCUCAAGCACUACAACACCAUCAAGCUGAAGAUGCUCGACACACGCAAACCUACAAGUCCGAACAUGCUCUACUUCAUGCCAAGGAUAAGCUUCAUGAGCAAAAGAGAAGACCACGAGAAAAGCACCACCAAGAGGAAGCUCCGACUACCACGACUACUUCGGCAUCUUCGCCUUUGGACGUACGACAUCUUCGUCUACUUCCCACGAGUACAACUACAUCGAGAUCAUCAAGUCCAAGGCGACCACGUACAAGCGAGGGUGACACUCCCAUCUUCGGAAUCCCCUCAAGGAAGAUGAUCGAGCAUGGGAUUUUCCCUUCGGUCAUGGAGACGAGUGAUGAUGUGCCAUCUUCGGCCUUCAUCCACAACGAGGGUGAUGUUGUGCCAUCUUCGGCCUUUAUCCACAACGAGAUUGACGAUGUGCCAUCUUCGGCCUUCAUCCACGACGAGAGUGAUGAUGUGCUAUCUUCGGCCUUCAUCCAUGGCGACGACUACGAGACGGUUGAGCACAGAAUUUUUCCUUCGACCACGACGACAUAUGAUGACUUGAGUGACUUGUGCCACCGUAUUGAGAGUGCGAGUGACUUCACCACUAGCCCCAUAUAUGAUGAGUUGCCAAAAUUCCCAUGUGAGGAGAGCCACAACCCCCAUCACUUGAGUGAGAUGAGUGACUCCACCAUAUGUGACAUUGAGUGCACCUAUUUUGAGGGAGUGAGUGAACGACCACAUAGAGAGUGUGAUAGUUGA
Molecule: ribosomal RNA, 936 nt
Filed under: Triticum aestivum (bread wheat)
Lineage: Eukaryota; Viridiplantae; Streptophyta; Magnoliopsida; Poales; Poaceae
Description: partial small subunit ribosomal RNA
Source: RNAcentral